UACGGAGGAUGCGAGCGUUAUCCGGAUUUAUUGGGUUUAAAGGGUGCGUAGGCGGACGCUUAAGUCUGCGGUAAAAUUGCGGGGCUCAACCUCGUCGAGCCGUUGAAACUGGGUGUCUUGAGUGGGCGAGAAGUACGCGGAAUGCGUGGUGUAGCGGUGAAAUGCAUAGAUAUCACGCAGAACUCCGAUUGCGAAGGCAGCGUACCGGCGCCCAACUGACGCUGAAGCACGAAGGCGUGGGUAUCGAACAGG
This 252-nucleotide ribosomal RNA is filed under the name uncultured bacterium. RNAcentral describes it as "partial 16S ribosomal RNA". It matches the Rfam family "Bacterial small subunit ribosomal RNA", at positions 524 to 776 of the family's 1533-position model. The record is from RNAcentral.